Molecule: ribosomal RNA, 529 nt
Filed under: Pseudomonadales bacterium
Lineage: Bacteria; Pseudomonadati; Pseudomonadota; Gammaproteobacteria; Pseudomonadales
Description: bacterial SSU rRNA
Rfam family: Bacterial small subunit ribosomal RNA
Source: RNAcentral
GCUUCUCUUGAGAGCGGCGGACGGGUGAGUAAUGCCUAGGAAUCUGCCUGGUAGUGGGGGAUAACGUUCGGAAACGGACGCUAAUACCGCAUACGUCCUACGGGAGAAAGCAGGGGACCUUCGGGCCUUGCGCUAUCAGAUGAGCCUAGGUCGGAUUAGCUAGUUGGUGAGGUAAUGGCUCACCAAGGCGACGAUCCGUAACUGGUCUGAGAGGAUGAUCAGUCACACUGGAACUGAGACACGGUCCAGACUCCUACGGGAGGCAGCAGUGGGGAAUAUUGGACAAUGGGCGAAAGCCUGAUCCAGCCAUGCCGCGUGUGUGAAGAAGGUCUUCGGAUUGUAAAGCACUUUAAUUUGGGAGGAAAGGCAUUUUCCUAAACCCUGAUUGUUUUGACCUUUCCGACCAAAUAACCACCGGCUAACUCUGUGCCACCCCCCCCGGUAAUCCCAAGGGGGCAACCGUUAUAUCCGAAUUACUGGCCCUAAAGCGCCCACCGAGGUGUUUUUUUAUUGUUAAGAUGUAAAUCCC